This is a long non-coding RNA of Hemicordylus capensis (graceful crag lizard), 521 nucleotides long. RefSeq lists it as uncharacterized. The transcript has 2 exons. The record is from RefSeq and is a predicted model, not a curated record. Lineage: Eukaryota; Metazoa; Chordata; Lepidosauria; Squamata; Cordylidae.
CCUCCCCCUGAGCAGAGCCCUCAGUGUGGCUGCCAAUGAUACCAUCCCAUCUAACCGGGCAGAAGCAGCUUUUGAAGUGGUAACUCUUACCCGGUGCUUGCAUCCAGUCCUAGCCACUCCAUCCUCUCCGAUUGCAUUCUUCACCCCGGAAGACAUUUAGCGGAACCACCUAGCUAUCUGCGAGAAUCUUGAAAAAUCUUAGUCAGUAAAACAAAUUGGAUCAUUGUGGACUUGCCAGCAUUUUUACAUCUGAUAUGUGUGACAUAAACUGCUUUUCUCAGUGGAGCAGAGAAUUUGACAUGCAGCUCAAAGGCUCACUUUCAGGAUUAAGCUCUUCCGUAGACUUACUUUUGCCUCCCAAAUCUAUCCCUAUGAGCUCCCCUGCUUGUUACAGUCCCAGAAGAGAGCUCUGGCUUUAUCUCCUUUGCAAACCUUGUGUGGACAACCAAGCUCAGCCGCUCUUCAACCUCCUGUAUCCUCAGACUGCAUUUGCAAUGAAAUAUAUUUCCAUUCACAGGUCA